RNAcentral lists this ribosomal RNA (2131 nucleotides) under Escherichia coli HVH 195 (3-7155360). Its description in RNAcentral is "bacterial LSU rRNA". It matches the Rfam family "Bacterial large subunit ribosomal RNA", at positions 1 to 2157 of the family's 2925-position model. Lineage: Bacteria; Pseudomonadati; Pseudomonadota; Gammaproteobacteria; Enterobacterales; Enterobacteriaceae. The record is from RNAcentral.
UUAAGCGACUAAGCGUACACGGUGGAUGCCCUGGCAGUCAGAGGCGAUGAAGGACGUGCUAAUCUGCGAUAAGCGUCGGUAAGGUGAUAUGAACCGUUAUAACCGGCGAUUUCCGAAUGGGGAAACCCAGUGUGAUUCGUCACACUAUCAUUAACUGAAUCCAUAGGUUAAUGAGGCGAACCGGGGGAACUGAAACAUCUAAGUACCCCGAGGAAAAGAAAUCAACCGAGAUUCCCCAAGUAGCGGCGAGCGAACGGGGAGCAGCCCAGAGCCUGAAUCAGUGUGUGUGUUAGUGGAAGCGUCUGGAAAGGCGCGCGAUACAGGGUGACAGCCCCGUACACAAAAAUGCACAUGCUGUGAGCUCGAUGAGUAGGGCGGGACACGUGGUAUCCUGUCUGAAUAUGGGGGGACCAUCCUCCAAGGCUAAAUACUCCUGACUGACCGAUAGUGAACCAGUACCGUGAGGGAAAGGCGAAAAGAACCCCGGCGAGGGGAGUGAAAAAGAACCUGAAACCGUGUACGUACAAGCAGUGGGAGCACGCUUAGGCGUGUGACUGCGUACCUUUUGUAUAAUGGGUCAGCGACUUAUAUUCUGUAGCAAGGUUAACCGAAUAGGGGAGCCGAAGGGAAACCGAGUCUUAACUGGGCGUUAAGUUGCAGGGUAUAGACCCGAAACCCGGUGAUCUAGCCAUGGGCAGGUUGAAGGUUGGGUAACACUAACUGGAGGACCGAACCGACUAAUGUUGAAAAAUUAGCGGAUGACUUGUGGCUGGGGGUGAAAGGCCAAUCAAACCGGGAGAUAGCUGGUUCUCCCCGAAAGCUAUUUAGGUAGCGCCUCGUGAAUUCAUCUCCGGGGGUAGAGCACUGUUUCGGCAAGGGGGUCAUCCCGACUUACCAACCCGAUGCAAACUGCGAAUACCGGAGAAUGUUAUCACGGGAGACACACGGCGGGUGCUAACGUCCGUCGUGAAGAGGGAAACAACCCAGACCGCCAGCUAAGGUCCCAAAGUCAUGGUUAAGUGGGAAACGAUGUGGGAAGGCCCAGACAGCCAGGAUGUUGGCUUAGAAGCAGCCAUCAUUUAAAGAAAGCGUAAUAGCUCACUGGUCGAGUCGGCCUGCGCGGAAGAUGUAACGGGGCUAAACCAUGCACCGAAGCUGCGGCAGCGACGCUUAUGCGUUGUUGGGUAGGGGAGCGUUCUGUAAGCCUGCGAAGGUGUGCUGUGAGGCAUGCUGGAGGUAUCAGAAGUGCGAAUGCUGACAUAAGUAACGAUAAAGCGGGUGAAAAGCCCGCUCGCCGGAAGACCAAGGGUUCCUGUCCAACGUUAAUCGGGGCAGGGUGAGUCGACCCCUAAGGCGAGGCCGAAAGGCGUAGUCGAUGGGAAACAGGUUAAUAUUCCUGUACUUGGUGUUACUGCGAAGGGGGGACGGAGAAGGCUAUGUUGGCCGGGCGACGGUUGUCCCGGUUUAAGCGUGUAGGCUGGUUUUCCAGGCAAAUCCGGAAAAUCAAGGCUGAGGCGUGAUGACGAGGCACUACGGUGCUGAAGCAACAAAUGCCCUGCUUCCAGGAAAAGCCUCUAAGCAUCAGGUAACAUCAAAUCGUACCCCAAACCGACACAGGUGGUCAGGUAGAGAAUACCAAGGCGCUUGAGAGAACUCGGGUGAAGGAACUAGGCAAAAUGGUGCCGUAACUUCGGGAGAAGGCACGCUGAUAUGUAGGUGAAGUCCCUCGCGGAUGGAGCUGAAAUCAGUCGAAGAUACCAGCUGGCUGCAACUGUUUAUUAAAAACACAGCACUGUGCAAACACGAAAGUGGACGUAUACGGUGUGACGCCUGCCCGGUGCCGGAAGGUUAAUUGAUGGGGUUAGCGGUAACGCGAAGCUCUUGAUCGAAGCCCCGGUAAACGGCGGCCGUAACUAUAACGGUCCUAAGGUAGCGAAAUUCCUUGUCGGGUAAGUUCCGACCUGCACGAAUGGCGUAAUGAUGGCCAGGCUGUCUCCACCCGAGACUCAGUGAAAUUGAACUCGCUGUGAAGAUGCAGUGUACCCGCGGCAAGACGGAAAGACCCCGUGAACCUUUACUAUAGCUUGACACUGAACAUUGAGCCUUGAUGUGUAGGAUAGGUGGGAGGCUU